AUCUGGUGAUGAGGACAUUUAGAUAGCAAUUCUUGAAAUCGACUCUAAUAUUCAUAAAAGGAUUCUUGAGCCAUCUGUUUAGCACCAUAAAUUUCUUUUAUUAAAGAU
Molecule: small nucleolar RNA, 108 nt
Organism: Neltuma alba
Lineage: Eukaryota; Viridiplantae; Streptophyta; Magnoliopsida; Fabales; Fabaceae
Source: RefSeq, a predicted model, not a curated record